GGAUGUGAGGGCAUCUGCCUGCGGCAUCUCACCCCGUGGAUCGCCAGGGUUGAUUCGCUGCUGCGGCCGGCGAGGCGCGUGUCCCCUGCCUCCGUGGCCGCUGCUGUGCGUCCCUCCCGAAGCUGCGCGCUCGGUCCCGCAGGGCGACCUUCCCCGCUCGAGGAGGACCGUUCUUCUGUCCAGGGUGUACGGGUAGCUGCGCUCGCCUGCUAGAACCUCCAGGAAAGCUCUCAGGGGAACAUAGAUAAAGCGGAGUUGAUAUUUGAAUUCACUGUGGAGCUGACUCCAGAGUUGAUAGUAUUUCAUUCCUU
This 311-nucleotide small nuclear RNA is filed under the name Dasypus novemcinctus (nine-banded armadillo). RNAcentral describes it as "7SK RNA (ENSDNOG00000026291.2)". It matches the Rfam family "7SK RNA". From Rfam's summary of the family: 7SK was discovered as an abundant small nuclear RNA in the mid-70s but a possible function has only recently been suggested. Two independent studies have found that 7SK RNA binds the CDK9/cyclin T complex (known as elongation factor P-TEFb). P-TEFb activates transcription by phosphorylating the C-terminal domain of RNA polymerase II. The record is from RNAcentral. Lineage: Eukaryota; Metazoa; Chordata; Mammalia; Cingulata; Dasypodidae.